This 403-nucleotide ribosomal RNA is filed under the name uncultured bacterium. Its description in RNAcentral is "bacterial SSU rRNA". It matches the Rfam family "Bacterial small subunit ribosomal RNA", at positions 355 to 775 of the family's 1533-position model. The record is from RNAcentral.
UAGGGAAUAUUAGAAAUGGACGAAAGUCUGAUCUAGCAACACCGCGUGUGCGAAGAAGGCCUUCGGGUCGUAAAGCACUUUUUGGAAGGAAUAGGAAGGAAUGUACUUCCAGAAUAAGUCUCGGCUAACUACGUGCCAGCAGCCGCGGUAACACGUAGGAGGCGAACGUUAUCCGGAUUUACUGGGCGUAAAGCGCGCGUAGGUGGUACUGUAAGUAGGGCGUGAAAGCUCCUGGCUCAACUGGGAGAGGCCGUUCUAAACUACAGAACUAGAGGAUGGUAGAGGGAGGUGGAAUUCCAGGUGUAGCGGUGGAAUGCGCAGAUAUCUGGAGGAACACCGGUAGCGAAGGCGGCCUCCUGGACCAUUCCUGACACUCAGACGCGAAAGCUAGGGUAGCAAACGG